This 76-nucleotide transfer RNA is filed under the name Paracoccaceae bacterium. Its description in RNAcentral is "tRNA-Ala". It matches the Rfam family "tRNA". Rfam says of the family: Transfer RNA (tRNA) molecules are approximately 80 nucleotides in length. Their secondary structure includes four short double-helical elements and three loops (D, anti-codon, and T loops). The record is from RNAcentral. Lineage: Bacteria; Pseudomonadati; Pseudomonadota; Alphaproteobacteria; Rhodobacterales; Paracoccaceae. RNAcentral also lists the same sequence under 7 other names.
GGGGCCGUAGCUCAGUUGGGAGAGCGCCGCAAUCGCACUGCGGAGGUCAGGGGUUCGAAUCCCCUCGGCUCCACCA